This 328-nucleotide ribosomal RNA is filed under the name uncultured eukaryote. Its description in RNAcentral is "partial 18S ribosomal RNA". It matches the Rfam family "Eukaryotic small subunit ribosomal RNA", at positions 1470 to 1796 of the family's 1831-position model. The record is from RNAcentral.
CCCUUAGAUGUCCUGGGUCGCACGCGCGCUACACUGAUGCAUGCAACGAGUUUAUAACCUUGGCCUGAAAGGUCUGGGUAAUCUUUUGAACGUGCAUCGUGAUAGGGAUAGAUUAUUGCAAUUGUUAAUCUUGAACGAGGAAUUCCUAGUAAACGCGAGUCAUCAGCUCGCAUUGAUUACGUCCCUGCCCUUUGUACACACCGCCCGUCGCACCUACCGAUUGAAUGGUUCGGUGAAGAUCUCGGACUUCGAUAUUUAUUCUUUAUUGAGUUUAUAUUGUGGGAAGUUAUCUAAACCUCAUCAUUUAGAGGAAGGUGAAGUCGUAACA